UCCAUGCUCACACCAAAGCUUCCGAGUUUGUUCCUGGGAUCUCCAUCUCAAAUCGUUUGCUUGAUUUGUAUUCCAAAUGUGGCAGCCUCGGUGAUGCCCAGAAGCUGUUUGAUGAAAUGAUUCACAGGGAUUUGUGCUCUUGGAACACCAUGAUUGCUGGGUAUGCCAAAAUNGCUGUUUGAUGAAAUGAUUCACAGGGAUUUGUGCUCUUGGAACACCAUGAUUGCUGGGUAUGCCAAAAUUGGACGCCUUCAUCAAGCUAGAAAACUGUUUGAUGAAAUGCCCCAAAGAGAUAACUUCUCCUGGAAUG
RNAcentral lists this long non-coding RNA (310 nucleotides) under Arachis ipaensis. RNAcentral describes it as "long non-coding RNA (AIPA_LNC002609)". Lineage: Eukaryota; Viridiplantae; Streptophyta; Magnoliopsida; Fabales; Fabaceae. The record is from RNAcentral.